RNAcentral lists this ribosomal RNA (305 nucleotides) under uncultured bacterium. Its description in RNAcentral is "bacterial SSU rRNA". It matches the Rfam family "Bacterial small subunit ribosomal RNA", at positions 334 to 656 of the family's 1533-position model. The record is from RNAcentral.
UUUCCCUACGGGGCGCAGCAGUGGGGGAUAUUGCACAAUGGGGGGAACCCUGAUGCAGCGACGCCGCGUGAACGAAGAAAUAUUUCGGUAUGUAAAGUUCUAUCAGCAGGGAAGAAAAUGACAGUACCUGACCAAGAAGCCCCGGCUAACUACGUGCCAGCAGCCGCGGUAAUACGUAGGGGGCGAGCGUUAUCCGGAUUCACUGGGCGUAAAGGGAGCGUAGGCGGUUUAGCAAGUCAGAAGUGAAAGCCCGGGGCUCAACUCCGGGACUGCUUUUGAAACUGUUGAACUAGAUUGCAGGAGAG